This 266-nucleotide ribosomal RNA is filed under the name uncultured bacterium. RNAcentral describes it as "partial 16S ribosomal RNA". It matches the Rfam family "Bacterial small subunit ribosomal RNA", at positions 89 to 354 of the family's 1533-position model. The record is from RNAcentral.
UGGCGACCGGCGCACGGGGUGAGUAACACGUAUCCAACCUGCCGAUAACUCGGGGAUAGCCUUUCGAAAGAAAGAUUAAUAUCCGAUAGCAUAUCAAGAUCGCAUGAUCUUGAUAUUAAAGAAUUUCGGUUAUCGAUGGGGAUGCGUUCCAUUAGUUAGUUGGCGGGGUAACGGCCCACCAAGGCGACGAUGGAUAGGGGGUUCUGAGAGGAAGGUCCCCCACAUUGGAACUGAGACACGGUCCAAACUCCUACGGAAGGCAGCAG